ACGGGUGAGUAACACGUAAGUAAUCUACCUUCGAGUGGGGAAUAACAGUCGGAAACGACUGCUAAUACCGCAUAAUGCAGCGGCAUCGCGAGAUGACAGUUGUUAAAGAUUUAUCGCUUGAAGAGGAGCUUGCGGCAGAUUAGCUAGUUGGUAAGGUAAUGGCUUACCAAGGCUACGAUCUGUAACCGGUCUAAGAGGACGGUCGGUCACACUGACACUGAAUAACGGGUCAGACUCCUACGGGAGGCAGCAGUCGGGAAUUUUGGGCAAUGGGCGAAAGCCUGACCCAGCAACGCCGCGUGAAGGAUGAAGUAUCUCGGUAUGUAAACUUCGAAAGAAUAGGAAGAAUAAAUGACGGUACUAUUUAUAAGGUCCGGCUAACUACGUGCCAGCAGCCGCGGUAAUACGUAGGGACCAAGCGUUGUUCGGAUUUACUGGACGUAAAGGGCGCGUAGGCGGCAAUUCAAGUCAUCUGUGAAAUCUCCGGGCUUAACUCGGAACGGUCAGAUGAUACUGCUUUGCUAGAGUGCGGAAGGGGCAAUCGGAAUUCUUGGUGUAGCGGUGAAAUGCGUAGA
RNAcentral lists this ribosomal RNA (575 nucleotides) under uncultured bacterium gp4. Its description in RNAcentral is "bacterial SSU rRNA". It matches the Rfam family "Bacterial small subunit ribosomal RNA", at positions 102 to 694 of the family's 1533-position model. The record is from RNAcentral.